UACGUAGGGGGCGAGCGUUGUCCGGAUUUAUUGGGCGUAAAGAGCUCGUAGGCGGUUUGGCAAGUCGGGUGUGAAAACUCAGGGCUUAACCCUGAGCCUGCUUCCGAUACGGGCAGACUAGAGGUAUGCAGGGGAGAACGGAAUUCCUGGUGUAGCGGUGAAAUGCGCAGAUAUCAGGAGGAACACCGGUGGCGAAGGCGGUUCUCUGGGCAUUACCUGACGCUGAGGAGCGAAAGUGUGGGGAGCGAACAGG
This 253-nucleotide ribosomal RNA is filed under the name uncultured bacterium. RNAcentral describes it as "partial 16S ribosomal RNA". It matches the Rfam family "Bacterial small subunit ribosomal RNA", at positions 524 to 776 of the family's 1533-position model. The record is from RNAcentral.